AACAAGCAGAUUCAUGAGCCCUUCACUUCAUUGCAGCUGUCGUCUUUGAUAUGUUGUGCUUAGUUUUUAGCUAGAUGUCAUGAUGCACACUUUUUUGCCAAAUUUAUCAAAUUAACAUUUUCCCUGAAGACUUGUGGUUUCUUCUGAUGCUAAUUUUGGUGAGCAACCCCAAUCUUUGACGGACAGACAACCCGUCCAGGGUGUAAAUUACCUCUUGCCUAUUGACUGCUGGAAACUGGACCAAGACUCCCAGCGGCCCUGCACAGAAAAGGGGGUAAAUACAACGGAUGGACUGGCAGGAGGCAGACAGAAUCAGGUGAAAAGUCACAUGAAUGGAAAACAAAGUCAACAGGGGGGUUGCACAGUGAGGUCAACGAAGUCCAAGAGCACAAGACGAACGUUAACAACACAAGGAGCGGGAGUGGAUGAAAACAGCUAGCCUACAUACUGGGAUAGCUGAUCACUGGAGUGGAAACAGGUGAGGAACAACCUGAAG
Fundulus heteroclitus (mummichog) is the source of this 496-nucleotide long non-coding RNA. RefSeq lists it as uncharacterized. The record is from RefSeq and is a predicted model, not a curated record. NCBI's taxonomy places the organism in Eukaryota, Metazoa, Chordata, Actinopteri, Cyprinodontiformes, Fundulidae. The transcript has 3 exons.